UACAGAGGGUGCGAGCGUUGUUCGGAGUUACUGGGCGUAAAGGGUGUGUAGGCGGUCCUCUAAGUUUGGUGUGAAAUCUCCCGGCUCAACUGGGAGGGUGCGCCGAAAACUGGAGGGCUAGAGUACUGGAUGGGAGAGUGGAAUUCCUGGUGUAGCGGUGAAAUGCGUAGAUAUCAGGAGGAACACCGGUGGCGAAGGCGGGUCUCUGGGCCGUAACUGACGCUGAGGAGCGAAAGCGUGGGGAGCGAACAGG
This 253-nucleotide ribosomal RNA is filed under the name uncultured bacterium. RNAcentral's name for it is "partial 16S ribosomal RNA". It matches the Rfam family "Bacterial small subunit ribosomal RNA", at positions 524 to 776 of the family's 1533-position model. The record is from RNAcentral.